This is a long non-coding RNA of Felis catus (domestic cat), 585 nucleotides long. RefSeq lists it as uncharacterized. The transcript is spliced from 2 exons. Lineage: Eukaryota; Metazoa; Chordata; Mammalia; Carnivora; Felidae. The record is from RefSeq and is a predicted model, not a curated record.
UGAACUCAUGGUUUGGCAGGGCUUCCACUUUCUUCCAGUUUCUAGAGCUGCAUUUCUUGUUUUCCUUUGUCCCUGUCCCCUUCAUCCAUCUUCAGGGCCAGCAGUGGAGUGUCUCAAAGUUCUCUCUGCUCUGUUUGCAUUUCACUGUCUUCUCUCCCCCCGUCUGAAAUCUUCUGCUUCUGUCUUACGAGCACACGUGACGGCAUUUAGGGCCCAUCCACAUAACCCAGCACAACUCUCCCAUCUCCCAAAUCCCUUAUUUAAUCACAUCUGCAAGCACACUUUGGCUGUAACAAGGCGCUGGAAGGAGAACUGAGAAGGAGUUGAGACUGUCGAAUUCAAUCAAGGACAAAGAGGCCUCGCAGUGUCCAAGGUCUUCACAUGCCCCACGACUCUACCCCCGCGACGCUAGCUCUGUUAGCUCCCAAGUGUGACCUUGAGAAAGUGAUGUCAUCUCUCUCAACUCCGAGCACCCCCCACCCCAUCCACAAAAUGAAAAUGCAAACUUUCGGCAUGGCUGUGAUUGUGCGGACUUAAAGGAUUUUAAAUCCCUGAGAGCACAUAAUAAAGUGGUUUAUCUGUAAA